RNAcentral lists this ribosomal RNA (467 nucleotides) under uncultured bacterium. RNAcentral describes it as "partial 16S ribosomal RNA". It matches the Rfam family "Bacterial small subunit ribosomal RNA", at positions 28 to 506 of the family's 1533-position model. The record is from RNAcentral.
GACGAACGCUGGCGGCGUGCUUAACACAUGCAAGUCGAACGGAAAGGCCCUGCUUUUGUGGGGUGCUCGAGUGGCGAACGGGUGAGUAACACGUGAGUAACCUGCCCUUGACUUUGGGAUAACUUCAGGAAACUGGGGCUAAUACCGGAUAGGAGCUCCUGCUGCAUGGUGGGGGUUGGAAAGUUUCGGCGGUUGGGGAUGGACUCGCGGCUUAUCAGCUUGUUGGUGGGGUAGUGGCCUACCAAGGCUUUGACGGGUAGCCGGCCUGAGAGGGUGACCGGCCACAUUGGGACUGAGAUACGGCCCAGACUCCUACGGGAGGCAGCAGUGGGGAAUAUUGCACAAUGGGCGGAAGCCUGAUGCAGCAACGCCGCGUGCGGGAUGACGGCCUUCGGGUUGUAAACCGCUUUCGCCUGUGACGAAGCGUGAGUGACGGUAAUGGGUAAAGAAGCACCGGCGAACUACGU